This 1061-nucleotide ribosomal RNA is filed under the name Sphaeridiotrema pseudoglobulus. RNAcentral describes it as "partial large subunit ribosomal RNA". It matches the Rfam family "Eukaryotic large subunit ribosomal RNA", at positions 111 to 786 of the family's 3401-position model. Lineage: Eukaryota; Metazoa; Platyhelminthes; Trematoda; Plagiorchiida; Psilostomidae. The record is from RNAcentral.
AGCACCGAAGCCUGUGGUCGUUUGGCCUCUAGGCAAUGUGGUGUUCAGGUCAGCCUGCGGAGGUACCGCUCCACCCUAAGUCCUAUAAUGAGUAAGGUUACUCGGACGUGGCCCAUAGAGGGUGAAAGGCCCGUGGGGGUGGAGAUUCAGUUUGGCCGGUAUCUUCCUGGGUAGACCUUGGAGUCGGGUUGUUUGUGAAUGCAGCCCAAAGUGGGUGGUAAACUCCAUCCAAGGCUAAAUACUAACACGAGUCCGAUAGCGAACAAGUACCGUGAGGGAAAGUUGAAAAGUACUUUGAAGAGAGAGUAAACAGUGCGUGAAACCGCUCAGAGGUAAACGGGUGGAGUUGAACUGCAAGCUUUGAGAAUUCAACUGGUGAGUAUGGCAUGAGCUGGGUAUAUUGGUUGACGGUUCGGGUCUGCUUAGCUGCAGGUUCUCGCCUUCGGGUGGGGAUGCGCGUAUCACUUAUCAAGUGUUGUGCGCCCGGACUGUUUCGGACCUGCUCGCCAGUGCACUUUCUCGGAGUGGUCACCACGACCGGCAUUGCUGUCUGGCUGUUGUAGUUAAACCGGCCUGGUAGGGUCCUUGUGGCUUUGCUUGGUCGGGACGGCAGGUAGCCCGUUAUGUACUUCGGUGUGUUUCGGGUGUAAUAGCUGACUACAUCAGUUCUGUGCGGUAUGUCGGAGACGGCGGCUUGUUGUGCGUGCGUGCGUGCUUGUUAUGCUGGCGGCGCUGUGUCUGGUUGCCGUGUUGCUUGUAAAUGCAAGCCCGGUGAUGGCUCGGUGUCGUUCGGUGUGCGGUUGCGUGCGUGGCACUAUAAAGGGCCAAUAGUCUGUGGUGUAGUGGUAGACUAUCCACCUGACCCGUCUUGAAACACGGACCAAGGAGAGUAACAUGUGCGCGAGUCAUUGGGCGUUACGAAACCCAAAGGCGCAGUGAAAGUAAAGGUUCGGCUUGUCCGGGCUGAGGUGAGAUCCUGUCGUUUCUCACGCGUGGUACUACCAAGCAUCGAGCGGCAGGCGCAUCACCGGCCCGUCCCAUGGCGUGGAAGCAGCCUCGUG